AACACUUCCACUAAGAGUCCCUCCAAAACAAACUUUGAAAUGUAAACACUGGGUAGAGCUCAGGACUUUCCUCUGGAUCAGAUCACUUCUGCCUCCCCCGUGGGACUGUUGAGUACUUGGAUUCAGACGCAGCAGAGCCCUAGGCCUCCCCCCAAGCAUCAGGUGUGUCCCUCUGGUCAAAGAAGGACCUCAUUACUGACCUGAGCCAAUCACCAUCCAGCCGGGCCCUCUCCGGGUCCUGCCGCGGUCUCAGGCUGCACCUGGGACUCUGCCUUCCACUCUGUUUAUGCUCAGGGAGCCCCUGGUCUGAGGGAGGCUGCCGAGGGAGAAGGACCCAGGCUCUGCUGCUGGGACCCCCCUCUGGGGGCGAGGGACUCACUCCCUAAUCUCUCUCCACCUGCAGUAACAUCUUUUUUUCGAGACUUCAGGCUCUUUGGUCUGUGGAUUGAGACUAUUUCGCCUAUAUCGUAUGCAGCAAAGGGGGACCUUACACAAGUGGCAAAGGACUUAGAAUAGAGCCCAGCAGGAGAUACAGAGUCUGAUCCUGAGGGAAUGGCUUCUUGCAGAGCUGGGCUCAGCCUGCAGCCCUGCUCUUGGAGUGACUGCAGAAGCAGCCUGGUCCCUGGCUGUCCAGGAAGAGGGAGUGCAGCCCAAGAGGGUGAGUGGCAGACAGACGGUCCCCAGGAGACACGGCUCCAAGAGCAAAGACAGGAGGCAAGCUCAGCCCCACAGAGGCCGGGCCGGAGGACAGCGGGUUGGGAGGGCAGGACGUACCGCCGCCGGUCAGCCCACAUCCGGGGAGGGGGCUCUGCUUCGACUUGCACGCCUUUCUGGAAUCUGAGCUGGCGCCUCCCUCCACGAACGCCGGGGCGAUGGGGCUUUUCUCUCCGGCAGCAGGUGCCUGGCAGCUGCCCGUGGAUGCCAGCCCCGUGAACUGGCCUGGGAGGAAGUGCCUGUCGGAGUGGUGAUUGCGAGGAUCUCAUGUAGGUGGCGUCCUUCCAGAAGAACAGAGUGGAAGGUGGGGCUGUGGAUGAGAAUAGGAGCCAGGGACCUAAGAGAACAGAAGGGCAGGAAGGACUCAAAUGGAGGAGAGGAUCCAGGUGAACCCAGUGGACGGUGAACAGCUGGGUUGAGGGGGUGUCUCUUGUGCCAGCAUUCCAGGGCUGCUCUCUGUGCCAGGCACGGGGCGGGGGCCAGAGAGUGUGGUGCGAGCGGGCCGGCCUGGCCUUCCCCAGCCCUCAGGCAGCGCACAGGACGGUGAGCUGGAGGGGUGUGCAGGAGACACAGUCCUGCGGCUUCCCCAGCCCAUCCGCGGUGGCCUUUGGCACCUCCUAGCUCUCGGCCGCUGCCCGCUCUGUCUCCGCCUGUAGGAGUGAGCGCCUGUGCUGUCUCCCUGCCCCUCCCAGCCGCCCAGCACUGAGUCUCGUGGCCGUCAAGGCUGAGGCGGAAGAGCGGCUGGCACGGGGCAGGGAGCAGCCAGGGCCCUGGCCCCAGGGUGAGAGCUGACGUCUGUCCGGGAGCAUCUCUCUCCCUGCCAAGGGUUGAGAUCCUGGGCUGCAUGCCUUCCUUCUGACACAG
Orcinus orca (killer whale) is the source of this 1578-nucleotide long non-coding RNA. RefSeq lists it as uncharacterized. NCBI's taxonomy places the organism in Eukaryota, Metazoa, Chordata, Mammalia, Artiodactyla, Delphinidae. The transcript is spliced from 4 exons. The record is from RefSeq and is a predicted model, not a curated record.